GGCGCUGUCGUCUUCUGUCAGGGUAGAACCGACGUAUUUUUUUCCCGUUAGGUUAGUUACUGCAUGUGAAAAACUUCACUGACACCCAGGUUUCGGUUUGCUACAGUGGUGAUUAGAGGUCUCUUAGAGACUGGCACACUAGGCAGCCACCUGGUUGGCCUCCCCUUCAUUCAGUCAGCUCUGCCAUUCAGCUUUCUUCCAGCCUCUGCACAUUACCUGUCCUAGUUCUUGUUUUAUUGUACUGCCACUCAACUUUUCUGAAUCUCCCACUUGGCUGUGUCUCUGUACCUGCUAAAUCAACACAGUUCCUGGCAUACAGGUGCAUUUCAGUGCAUGCUGGUGAGACAGCGAAGGGCUUGAAACAGUCCACAAAAGUUGAUGCAGGAGAGCAGUACAAUCCUUUCUGGAGUGGGACUCAGAGAAAGAUCAUGCAUGUUGAAGUCAUUCCAGCAGCAGUCCAGGGGAGUUGGGGCAGGUAAGAUGGGAUAAGUGCACUCCAACCAUCAUUUCUGUUGGUCAUAACUCCAGGAGAGAAAGUUUAGAACAGCUAUUUGAGGACGGUGAAAAGAAAACAGCAGAAGGAAUAUUGGUGAAGAACACAGAAUUUGAAGUACAUCAAACCAGUAGGCUCACUUCCAAGCCAUACAUGUUUGGAUCUGGUUUUAAUGAGGAUACCAAGACCUUUGAGAACUGAAGUAAUAGAGAGGUCAUCACCUGGUUCCUAGACUGGCUUCUGGGUGGUGCACACCUGAAAUGGAGACAAAAAGCAGUUUGAAAACUGAGUGGAUGUUGACAUCACAGCGCACAGAAGGUAAAUGCAGAGAUUUCAGACUACAAAGUGACCUUCAUAGGCCAAUGGUGUUUCUGGAAACCUGUGAGCAGAAAAAGGACUUCCACUCUGAGGGGUGGCAGCAUAGUCACUUGGCUGGGGCAACUGGUCUCUUUGGCAAUAACUGCUUAUCAGAGAGGUUCCCAUGGCAUCCAGGCCCUGCAGGAUGCUGUUGAGACCCUGUCAGGUGAGAACAAAAUGGCAGUAGUGUGGCCCAGGCUCCCAUACUGAGGACGGAAGGCACCAGAAGACAGUAGACACUGGUCCAAAACCUAGAGGUGUGCACAGCAGAUGGAAAACUACUUUCUGCCAGCAGAGGUGACAUUUUCAGGGGGCUUCAUGGCUUUAGUGAGAGAGAACCAAGGAACUGGAAAGGAUGGACACUGUGGGUGGCCACACACACAAACCUCGGCGACUGGCAAAAUCAUCUGAGGAGAAUUGAAUUGUUUCCUUGGCAAACGAAGUGGUUGAAGAACUAUUUUUAUGGCUGUUCUUAUGAUUCUGUGUUUCACUGUAGACUGGCACAGCCUAGAGAACAUGCGCUAUGGUUGUUAUAAGGACAAUCUACAAAUAUUACAAGUAAU
RNAcentral lists this long non-coding RNA (1413 nucleotides) under Homo sapiens (human). RNAcentral's name for it is "HSALNT0311431". The record is from RNAcentral. Lineage: Eukaryota; Metazoa; Chordata; Mammalia; Primates; Hominidae.